GGAGAAUUUCUUGAACCUGGGAGAUGGAGGUUGCAGUGAGCUGAGACCACGCCACUGCACUCCAGCCUGGGUGACAGAGUGAGACUUUGGCUC
Molecule: microRNA precursor, 93 nt
Filed under: Aotus nancymaae (Ma's night monkey)
Lineage: Eukaryota; Metazoa; Chordata; Mammalia; Primates; Aotidae
Description: miRNA (ENSANAG00000009057.1)
Source: RNAcentral